AGAGCUGUCCAGCCCCGGUCUGGACGCCGUCCCUUGUGGUGAGGAGCAGGCCCCACUCCUGGAGCCUCCCCCCCUCCGCCCCCUUCCUACCCCUAGACCAUCUGUUUUGUUCUUACAAACCCCUCAGACCCGUGGAAAACCGAGGCGGACGAGCCCCUCUUCAAAAGAGGGGGUGGGUGGGAUGAUUUAUUUGCUUUUGGUUUUAUUUUUGGUUUUUCCCCCUCUUUUCUGAUGCUCCCAACUGCUUCCACAGACGCGCCAUCGCAGAUGUCUCCCUCCGAAGUUUGAGGUGGCUGAAAUUCCUUGUCCCAUUCCCGGCAACAUCACGAGGAUGAAAGGACGGGCAGAGGCGCCGAACGGUUCAGUUUCCACCCCGUAGCCCUCGGGAUCUAUUGGAAUUCAGCGAGGAAAUUAAUUUAUUGAAGCAUGAAAAUCCCAUACGGAGCCACACAGAAGGGAAAGCUCAUUAAACUAUGCAGCAAUUAGAACACACGCAGAACACUUGAACUUACCUCCAACAUGUUAAUAGGUCCCAGUUCUGAAACAAGAGGAAUAUUUUGCUGCAAGAAUGCAACGGAACAGGAAAGUCUUUCCACCCACUCCUCUCUGGCCAAGCUGAAAGAAUGGGGUUCUUUUAGACUCCAUACUGAUAGUGUUGUAAAAGAGUAAUGGUAAAGAUAAUAAAAGGAGCUACAGAAACA
RNAcentral lists this long non-coding RNA (701 nucleotides) under Calidris pugnax (ruff). RNAcentral's name for it is "lncRNA (ENSCPUG00000015184.1)". Lineage: Eukaryota; Metazoa; Chordata; Aves; Charadriiformes; Scolopacidae. The record is from RNAcentral.